Molecule: ribosomal RNA, 340 nt
Filed under: uncultured eukaryote
Lineage: Eukaryota
Description: bacterial SSU rRNA
Rfam family: Eukaryotic small subunit ribosomal RNA
Source: RNAcentral
AGUCAUAUGCUUGUCUCAAAGAUUAAGCCAUGCAUGUCUAAGUAUAAAUCUUUUAUACGAUGAAACUGCGAACGGCUCAUUAUAUCAGCAAUAAUUUAUUUGAUGGUUCCUUACUACAUGGAUAACUGUGGUAAUUCUAGAGCUAAUACAUGCGUAAAGUCCCGACUCUCGCGGGGAGGGAUGUAUUUAUUAGAUAAAAAACCAAUACGCUUCUGGCGUUUUUGUGGUGAAUCAUAGUAACUUUUCGAAUCGCAUGGCUUCACGCCGGCGAUAGUUCAUUCAAAUUUCUGCCCUAUCAGCUUUCGACGGUAGUGUAGUGGACUACCGUGGCGUUAACGGG